Molecule: long non-coding RNA, 367 nt
Organism: Astatotilapia calliptera (eastern happy)
Lineage: Eukaryota; Metazoa; Chordata; Actinopteri; Cichliformes; Cichlidae
Source: Ensembl
AAAAAUGUUCUGCUUUUUUUCCCUCUGCUUGCUUCUUACUGUCUUUGAGGCUCGGGACCAGCACUCCUGCUGUUGGACAGAAAGACAUCAACUCAGUGACUUGAGAUAUGACUGCACUAUGCUGUUGCUGGUGACUCCAGUUAAUUCUACAAGACAUGCUGUGACACCAGGAGAGAUGAGUCCUCUGUCACAGAUGGUGUGGUGAGUGAAGAUGGUCGCCUGCAGGUUCAAGUUCAUUGCAUCUCCAACCCACAUCCACUGGCACUGUACUUAAGGGAAGUUAAAGACUUUCUUCUGCACCUACAUUUGGAUCACCUGGAUCCAUGACAGUCAUUCAGGCAGUAAUGCCUGGACUGGAAACAAGCCA